UGGAGAACUAAAAAAGAAAGUGCUGGGC
Molecule: non-coding RNA, 28 nt
Filed under: Mus musculus (house mouse)
Lineage: Eukaryota; Metazoa; Chordata; Mammalia; Rodentia; Muridae
Source: RNAcentral